Molecule: ribosomal RNA, 411 nt
Filed under: uncultured Rhodoferax sp.
Lineage: Bacteria; Pseudomonadati; Pseudomonadota; Betaproteobacteria; Burkholderiales; Comamonadaceae
Description: bacterial SSU rRNA
Rfam family: Bacterial small subunit ribosomal RNA
Source: RNAcentral
GAACCUUACCACCUUUGACAUGUACGGACCUUUAGAGAUAGAGGGUGCUCGAAAGAGAGCCGUUAACACAGGUGCUGCAUGGCUGUCGUCAGCUCGUGUCGUGAGAUGUUGGGUUAAGUCCCGCAACGAGCGCAACCCUUGUCAUUAGUUGCUACAUUCAGUUGGGCACUCUAAUGAGACUGCCGGUGACAAGCCGGAGGAAGUGGGGAUGACGUCAAGUCCUCAUGGCCCUUAUAGGUGGGCUACACACGUCAUACAAUGGCUGGUACAAAGGGUUGCCAACCCGCGAGGGGGAGCCAAUCCCAUAAAGCCAGUCGUAGUCCGGAUCGUAGUCUGCAACUCGACUACGUGAAGUCGGAAUCGCUAGUAAUCGUGGAUCAGCAUGUCACGGUGAAUACGUUCCCGGGUCUU